GAUGAACGCUAGCGGCAGGCUUAAUACAUGCAAGUCGAGGGGCAUCAAGGUACACGAAAGUGUAUUGUUGGCGACCGGCGGACGGGUGAGUAAUAGGUAGGUAACCUACCUCAUACUGAGGCAUAGCUGGGAGAAAUUCCAGGUAAUUCCUCAUGAGGUUAUAUGACACAUGUGAUAUAAUCAAAGGUAUCGCAAGGUACUGGUAUGAGAUGGGCUUACUGACCAUUAGCUAGUUGGUGAGAUAAGAGCUCACCAAGGCGAAGAUGGUUAGGGGUUUGAGAGAGAGAUCCCCCACAUUGGAACUGAGAUACGGUCCAGACUCCUACGGGAGGCAGCAGUAGGGAAUAUUGGGCAAUGGGCGGAAGCCUGACCCAGCCAUGCCGCGUGAAGGAAGACGGCCUUAUGGGUUGUAAACUUCUUUACUAUGCGACUAACUAGAUUUACGAGAUAAUUCUAUAGAAUGUAGCAUAGCAAAAAGCAACC
This 483-nucleotide ribosomal RNA is filed under the name uncultured bacterium. Its description in RNAcentral is "bacterial SSU rRNA". It matches the Rfam family "Bacterial small subunit ribosomal RNA", at positions 28 to 495 of the family's 1533-position model. The record is from RNAcentral.